GGCCAUUUAGCACAAUGGUUAGUGCACAGGACUUAACUGUGAUUGACGAUCUGGUGGUCUUGGGUUCAAUUCCCAGAGUUGUAC
Molecule: non-coding RNA, 84 nt
Organism: Mycena maculata
Lineage: Eukaryota; Fungi; Basidiomycota; Agaricomycetes; Agaricales; Mycenaceae
Source: the annotation of a GenBank genome assembly